GACGAACGCUGGCGGCGUGCUUAACACAUGCAAGUCGAGCGGUAAGGCCCUUUCGGGGGUACACGAGCGGCGAACGGGUGAGUAACACGUGGGUGACCUGCCCUUAGCUCUGGGAUAAGCCUGGGAAACUGGGUCUAAUACCGGAUAUGACUCCAUAACGCAUGUUGUGGGGUGGAAAGCCUUGUGCGGCUAGGGAUGGGCCCGCGGCCUAUCAGCUUGUUGGGUGGGGUGAU
Molecule: ribosomal RNA, 233 nt
Filed under: uncultured bacterium
Lineage: Bacteria
Description: partial 16S ribosomal RNA
Rfam family: Bacterial small subunit ribosomal RNA
Source: RNAcentral